AUUGAACGCUGGCGGCAGGCCUAACACAUGCAAGUCGAGCGGAUGAAGCGUGCUUGCUUCUGGAUUCAGCGGCGGACGGGUGUGUAAUGCCUAGGAAUCUGCCUGGUAGUGGUUGAUAACGUCCGGAAACGGGUGCUAAUACUGCCUACGUCCUGAGGGUGAAAGUGGGGGAUCGUCGGACAUCACCCUCUCAGGUGAGUCUAGGUCGGUUUAGCUAGUUUGUGGGGUAAUGGCCUUCUAAGGCGACGAUCCGUAACUGGCCUGAGAGAAUGAUCAGGCACCUUGGAAGUUGGACGCGCUCCAGACUCCUGCGGGAGGCAGCAGUGGCGAAUGUUGGGCAAUGGGCGGGAGCCUGGUACAGCGAUGCCGAGUGUGUGGCGAAGGUCUUCCGUGUGGAAUGCCCUUUUGGUUGGGAGAAAGGGCUGUAAGUUAAGACCUAGCUGUAUUGACGGUACCAACAGAAUAAGCACCGGCUAACUACGUG
This 484-nucleotide ribosomal RNA is filed under the name uncultured bacterium. RNAcentral describes it as "partial 16S ribosomal RNA". It matches the Rfam family "Bacterial small subunit ribosomal RNA", at positions 30 to 507 of the family's 1533-position model. The record is from RNAcentral.